This 113-nucleotide ribosomal RNA is filed under the name Bacteroidales bacterium. The record is from RNAcentral. Lineage: Bacteria; Pseudomonadati; Bacteroidota; Bacteroidia; Bacteroidales.
UUAGGUGACGAUAGCGGCGGGGUUCCACCUCUUCCCAUCCCGAACAGAGAAGUUAAGCCCGCUUGCGCCGAUGGUACUGCGAUACAAUGUGGGAGAGUAGGUAAUCGCCAAUU